Molecule: long non-coding RNA, 612 nt
Filed under: Elaeis guineensis (African oil palm)
Lineage: Eukaryota; Viridiplantae; Streptophyta; Magnoliopsida; Arecales; Arecaceae
Description: long non-coding RNA (EGUI_LNC045759)
Source: RNAcentral
GGAUAUCCAAAAAUAAUUCAAAAUUUUAAAAUAUUAUUCUUUCUAAUAUCAAUAAAUUUUUUGUAUCAAACCAUAUCAUCUAUCAUAAUUCUUUAACUCAAAGGGUCAACAUUCCUGACUUACUCAAAGUAAUCCAGAUUACCAUGCUUCCACUGCGCACUCUGAUCUAACAAUCAAAAUUUCUUAGGUUCACCAAAAAAAAAUUGAUCAAAUUAUUUUUUUAUCCUAAAAUUUCAAAUUUUAAUUGAAAUCAAAGAUUAACUUUCGAUUCUCAUUCAUACCUUUACUGGUGUACAAUAAUCUUGAUUAACCCUUGAGUCCAAUAUCAUAUUUAAACCAUCAUAUAGAUUUACUAUAAUCAAUAUGAAUCAAAUCUCAAUUCUCAUAUCAAUUCAAUUCGAUAAAUUUUCAAACCAAAAAUCCUUAUAAGUCAAAUUAAUGAAGAAAAAAAAAAUUCUUCGAUGCUCCACCAAAUUUGGACAUAAUCUUAAUAUAUAAGAACUUCAAAUCAUUAUUUUUUUUAAAAUUUCCAUCAUCAGGAUCUUCAAUAUCUAUCAAAUAUCCUUUCAUAACAAUCAUAUAAGCUUCAAAAAAAUCAAAUCUUCAUUUAAU